UUAAGUUCAGCGGGUAUCCCUACCUGAUCCGAGGUCAACCUGAGAAAAUUAUGGUUGGGGGUCGGCGGGCGCCGGCCGGGCCUACAAGAGCGGGUGACGAUGCCCCAUACGCUCGAGGACCGGACGCGGUGCCGCCGCUGCCUUUCGGGCCCGUCCCCGGGGGGACGCGGCCCAACACACAAGCCGGGCUUGAGGGCAGC
This 200-nucleotide unclassified non-coding RNA is filed under the name Penicillium sp. RNAcentral describes it as "partial internal transcribed spacer 2". The record is from RNAcentral. Lineage: Eukaryota; Fungi; Ascomycota; Eurotiomycetes; Eurotiales; Aspergillaceae.